RNAcentral lists this ribosomal RNA (603 nucleotides) under uncultured marine eukaryote. RNAcentral describes it as "SSU rRNA". It matches the Rfam family "Eukaryotic small subunit ribosomal RNA", at positions 622 to 1228 of the family's 1831-position model. The record is from RNAcentral.
AAAAACUCGUAGUUGGAUUUCUGUCGAGGACGGCCGGUCCGCACUUUGUGCGUGUAUCUGGUUCGGUCUUGGCAUCCUCUUGGGGAACGUUUCUGUGCUUCGUUGCAUGGGGCGGGAUUCAAGACUUUUACUUUGAGGAAAUUAGAGUGUUCACGGCAAGCUAUCGCUUUGAAUACAUUAGCAUGGAAUAAUAAUAUAGGGCGUAAGUCCUAUUUUGUUGGUUUCUAGGACAUACGCAAUGAUUAAUAGGGACAAUUGGGGGCAUUCGUAUUAACGCGUCAGAGGUGGAAUUCUUAGAUUGCGUUACGACGAACUACUGCGAAAGCAUUUGCCAAGGAUGUUUUCAUUGAUCAAGAACGAAAGUAUGGGGAUCGAAGACGAUUAGAUACCGUCGUAGUCUAUACCAUAAACUAUGCCAAUUAGAGAUUGGAGGUCGUUCGUUUUAUGACUCCUUCAGCACUUUAUGAGAAAUCAAAAUUUUUGGGUUCCGGGGGGAGAUAUGGUCGCAAGGCUGAAACUUAAAGGAAUUGACGGAAGGGCACCACCAGGAGUGGAGCCUGUGGCUCAAUUUGACUCAACACGGGAAAACUUACCAGGUCCAGA